UACGGAGGGGGCUAGCGUUAUUCGGAAUUACUGGGCGUAAAGCGCACGUAGGCGGACCAGAAAGUUAGGGGUGAAAUCCCGGGGCUCAACCUCGGAACUGCCCUUAAAACUCCUGGUCUUGAGUUCGAGAGAGGUGAGUGGAAUUCCGAGUGUAGAGGUGAAAUUCGUAGAUAUGCGGAGGAACACCGAUGGCGAAGGCAACCCCCUGGGCCUGUACUGACGCUCAUGCACGAAAGCGUGGGGAGCAAACAGG
This 253-nucleotide ribosomal RNA is filed under the name uncultured Paracoccaceae bacterium. RNAcentral describes it as "uncultured Rhodobacteraceae bacterium partial 16S ribosomal RNA". It matches the Rfam family "Bacterial small subunit ribosomal RNA", at positions 524 to 776 of the family's 1533-position model. The record is from RNAcentral. Lineage: Bacteria; Pseudomonadati; Pseudomonadota; Alphaproteobacteria; Rhodobacterales; Paracoccaceae.